This 253-nucleotide ribosomal RNA is filed under the name uncultured bacterium. Its description in RNAcentral is "partial 16S ribosomal RNA". It matches the Rfam family "Bacterial small subunit ribosomal RNA", at positions 524 to 776 of the family's 1533-position model. The record is from RNAcentral.
UACGUAGGCAGCGAGCGUUGUUCGGAAUUACUGGGCGUAAAGAGUGUGUAGGCGGUGCUCUAAGUCUGUUGUGAAAUCGCCCGGCUCAACUGGGAGGGUGCGGCGGAAACUGGAGUGCUCGAGUGUGGGAGAGGAAAGCGGAAUUCCUGGUGUAGCGGUGAAAUGCGUAGAUAUCAGGAGGAACACCUGCGGUGUAGGCAGCUUUCUGGACCCCGACUGACGCUGAGACACGAAAGCGUGGGUAGCAAACAGG